This is a long non-coding RNA of Mus spicilegus (steppe mouse), 1967 nucleotides long. The record is from Ensembl. Lineage: Eukaryota; Metazoa; Chordata; Mammalia; Rodentia; Muridae.
CUUAAGAGUUAGUUAUAAGAGAAGCGAGCCGUAAAUGAAUACCACAUGAGUUCCCGUACACUUAAGCCUCAAACUGUAUUUAACAAAAGAGUUGGCAAUACCUGAGCUCUUCUGUCUUGCUUUUGAAUCCUCUUGUAACAUAGGCAGAGACAGGAAAUCUUCUGAGGAGAGCCUUCACCCGAUUGAAGGAAAGUUCUUUGCUUCCAACGGGAGCAAAAGGCUUAGUAGGCUUAGUCUUCACUAGCUGGGGGACUGACUCUUCAGAGAACUGGAGGCGCUUCUGUUAUUUUAAUGGUAUCAUACAUUUCCAAACUAACCAAAGCUUUCCUUUAUCUGAUUGCUGCUGCUGCUGCUGGAAUGCUCUUCCUUCUCCCUCAAUAGUAUAGGUUAGUUAGUUCUCCUUAAACUCACCUAAACUUACAAGUACUAAUCAAUCACUCCUACUUUCCGAAGUCCCAGGCGUUUCUCCUCAAAUUGCUUGCUUUGCACAAACACGUCAUCAGUGUUUAUGAAAGCGUCCCAGACUUCAUAUAAUCCUUCCCGCUCCUUUUGCCUGGUUUCAGUCACUGAAGCGACGUUCCCUUGGUCGCUGCUUUUGUCCCAACUCCCCUCCAGUACUUUCCUUUUCCUGGACCCUUCUGCCCAUCCCACCCUCUGUCUCGCCCUGAACCCCAGCUCCCACAUCUACCAGACUCUCUGGGUCCCUUCACUUCCCGAGGGGAUUAGCAGCCGCUCACCUCUGCCUUGGGCCAAUGGAAUUGCACCGCCUUUGGGGUCUGCUCAGCCUCUAGGGGUCUUCACUCGGGAGGAGGGCGGGGCAGGUGACGCAGCUAUAGCCUCGGCUUCUGGGAAUGGGCGGGCCAUCGACCCGGGACCACCAGCGCCUACCCAGGCUCGCCUGCGAGUUUGCUCCUCCUGUGCUGCAGGCUUCCACCGUUUGAGAAAUGUGACUAAAAUGACUGUUUAAUCCCUGUGGUUGAAGCACAUGUGAGUGAGCCUUUGAUGAGCAUUUGGGAUAAAUGUUUUGGGGCAGAUGUUCUGAAGAUGUGCUCCUAGAACAAGUAAGUUCUUAAGCUCCAUCUCUCAGGCCCACCAUACGGACCAUCCUAGGGCAGGGGCCUAGGGAUCUUUGUGUUAACAAAAUUUCUAAAGGUUUUUAAUUGAUGGAUUCUGAAAAUAAUUUAUAAAUGCAGAUGAUAUUUAUGGAAGAUUUACUCUGUGACAAGUAUCAUAAGCUUUUUUUUUUAAAGUCAGUUUAUUUCCACAUUAUAAUAGCAUCCAUGAGCAUACAAGGAACACAUUCAUGCUGCUCUCACUUUAUACAGGUGUGAAGAAAAAUGGCUCAUCUAGGUAAUGCGUCUUGUAAGUAGAAACAGUACAGUUGAUUCAAACCCACGUGACUGGGCUCCACAGAAUGAAUGGAGCUGCCAAAGCUGAGGUGGCCUGGCUUGGGUACAAAUUAGUAAUAUUCCAUAUCCAGUUGCUAAUCACCAAGUGAUUUCUAGUCAGUAAUGAUCAAGGUAGAAUUAAAGAGUCAAGGAGUCAGAGUUAGCAUUAACCCUGGAGACCUGUGUGGCACGAACAAGGUCCUUAGCACUGCAGAGACAACCAUAUUCUUAAGAUGUCUGCAUGUGGACACUUGCCUUGGAAAUAUGGCAUCUAGUAUGUUCUGGGCAGCUACAGCUUGUCAUUCUUCCAAAGCUCCUUCCAGACUAACGUCAUAGCUCUGUAUUCGGUAGGUUAUUUCUAACCAAGGUCGAGCCUUCCAGACCUCAGCUCCAGCAAACCACAGAGAGAUGAUUGCAGUGUGUUAGAAUACAUAUUUUCCCAGGAUCACUACUCAGGAUCAUUUUACUUCUAGAUGUUUCAAAUAUUCCUUUCCCACCUCUUAUAUAACCUAUAAGACCUAUUAGAAAGCCAGCACAUAUUUUAUACCUAUUCUAGCUCAGUUUCUCCUAUUUAUUAUG